RNAcentral lists this transfer RNA (91 nucleotides) under Dehalococcoidia bacterium. Its description in RNAcentral is "tRNA-Ser". It matches the Rfam family "tRNA". Rfam says of the family: Transfer RNA (tRNA) molecules are approximately 80 nucleotides in length. Their secondary structure includes four short double-helical elements and three loops (D, anti-codon, and T loops). Further hydrogen bonds mediate the characteristic L-shaped molecular structure. tRNAs have two regions of fundamental functional importance: the anti-codon, which is responsible for specific mRNA codon recognition, and the 3' end, to which the tRNAs corresponding amino acid is attached (by aminoacyl-tRNA synthetases). tRNAs cope with the degeneracy of the genetic code in two manners: having more than one tRNA (with a specific anti-codon) for a particular amino acid; and 'wobble' base-pairing, i.e. permitting non-standard base-pairing at the 3rd anti-codon position. Lineage: Bacteria; Bacillati; Chloroflexota; Dehalococcoidia. RNAcentral also lists the same sequence under 1 other name. The record is from RNAcentral.
GGAGGGGUGCCGGAGCGGCUGAACGGGGCGGUCUCGAAAACCGCUAGGGGCCCCGUGCCCCUCGUGGGUUCGAAUCCCACCCCCUCCGCCA